This 7430-nucleotide long non-coding RNA is filed under the name Triticum aestivum (bread wheat). Its description in RNAcentral is "long non-coding RNA (TAES_LNC001994)". The record is from RNAcentral. Lineage: Eukaryota; Viridiplantae; Streptophyta; Magnoliopsida; Poales; Poaceae.
CACAAUUAAGAAGAAUUACAUUAAAAUUAUGCCAAGUAGCACUCCGCAUCAAAAAUUCUAUUUUUAUCAUUUACCUACUCGAGGACGAGCAGGAAUUAAGCUUGGGGAUGCUUGAUACGUCUCCAAUGUAUCUAUAAUUUUUGAUUGCUCCAUGCUAUAUUAUCUACUGUUUUGGACAUUAUUGGGCUUUAUUAUCCACUUUUAUAUUAUUUUUAGGACUAACCUAUUAGCCGGAGGCCCAGCCCAGAAUUGUUGUUUUUUGCCUCUUUUAGGGUUUCGAAGAAAAGGAAUAUCAAAUGGAGUCCAAACGGAAUGAAACCUUCAGGAACGUGAUAUUCUCACCGAAUACAACUCAGGAGACUUGGACCCUACGUCAAGCCAAUUAACAGGAGGCCACGAGGUAGGGGGCGCGCCUGCCCCCCCCCCCCAGGCGCGCCCUCCACCCUUGUGGGCCCCCUGUUGCUCCACCGACAUACUUCUUCCUCCUAUAUAUACCCACAUACCCCCAAACGAUCAGAUACGGAGCCAAAAACAUAAUUCCACCGCCACAACUUUCUGUAUCCACGAGAUCCCAUCUUGGGGCCUGUUCCGGAGCUCCGCCGGAGGGGGCAUCGAUCACGAAGGGCUUCUACAUCAUCAUCCAAGCCCCUCCGAUGAAGUGUGAGUAGUUUAUUUCAGACCUGUGGGUCCAUAGUUAGUAGCUAGAUGGCUUCUUCUCUCCUUUUGGAUCUCAAUACAAUGUUCCCCCCCUCUCUCGUGGAGAUCUAUUCGAUGUAAUCUUCUUUUUGCGGUGUGUUUGUUGAGACCGAUGGAUUAUGGGUUUAUGAUCAAGUCUAUCUAUGAAUAAUAUUUGAAUCUUCUCUGAAUUCUUUUAUGUAUGAUUGGUUAUCUUUUCAAGUCUCUUCGAAGAAUCAGUUUGGUUUGGCCUACUAGAUUGGUUUUUCUUGCCAUGGGAGAAGUGCUUAGCUUUGGGUUCGAUCUUGCGGUGUCCUUUCCCAGUGACAGAAGGGGCAGCAAGGCAUGUAUUGUAUUGUUGCCAUCGAGGAUAACAAGAUGGGUUUUUUAUCAUAUUGCAUGAAACUAUCCCUCUACAUCAUGUCAUCUUGCUUAAGGCGUUACUCUGUUUUUAACUUAAUACUCUAGAUGCAUGCUGGAUAGCGGUCGAUGAGUGGAGUAAUAGUAGUAGAUGCAGGCAGGAGUCGGUCUACUUGUCUCGGACGUGAUGCCUAUAUACAUGAUCAUACCUAGAUAUUCUCAUAACUAUGCUCAAUUCUGUCAAUUGCUCAACAGUAAUUUGUUCACCCACCGUAGAAUACUUAUGCUCUUGAGAGAAGCCACUAGUGAAACCUAUGGCCCCCGAGUCUCUUUCUCAUCAUAUCAAUCUCCAUCACUUUAUUAUUGCUUUGCUUUUUUACUUUUCCUUUUACUUUUCACUUUGCAUCUCUAUACCAAAAAUACCAAAAAUAUUAUUUAUCAUCUCUAUCAGAUCUCACUUUCGUAAGUGACCGUGAAGGGAUUGACAACCCCUAAGCGCGUUGGUUGCAUUGAGCUAUUGUUUAUGUGUAGGUACAAGGGACUCGCGCAUAGCCUCCUACUGGAUUGAUAACUUGGUUCUCAAAACUGAGGGAAAUACUUAUGUUACUUUGCUGCAUCAUCCUCUCCUCUUCGGGGAAAUCCAACGCAGUGCUCAAGAGGUAGCAAUUACGAACUUUAUUUUUAUCUUUGAAGGAGGUGUCUCGCUCUUCUGGCAACUCAUCUCAAACUCAAUUCCCGGCCUUUAAGACUACCCCUGGGUAAGUAAGAAAUUAUCUUUCCUUUGUGUCUUUCAAACUGCUUCUUUAUACUAACUGUUUCAUAACAUCUUUCUUAGUGGCCAAGCCAAAUCCAAGAAAGCCAAGGUGACUAGGCCGGCGGAAGACCCGCCAGUCCUUGCACCUGAACCGCCCAUGCCACCUUCUCCUCCUCCAACUGAAGCACCAGAAGACUCGGUUGUCAAUGCUAAAGUAGAUCCUCCUAAGCCGUCAGUUGAUGAUACUAUCGUUAAUCCUUCUGCUACUGGUCUGUCCAGCUCAGCCAACCCGCCAUCGCUGUCUGCCCAAGACGUUCUGAUCACUGGAAGCCACUUUGUUGAGUCGGGGAAUCCCACCGUGUUGGCUCGUCACACGGCUAAACAAGAGGCUUUGGAGAGGAAAAAAGUGUGUUUUGACCUUUCUCAUUAUAGCCAUCUGAACGCUAACGGCAUAUUGUCCGGCUAUCUGAGCCAUGUGCACUCCAGCCGUGACUCAGAAAUCGAAAUGGUCAAGCAGUUGCAGCUGAAGUAUGAGGUAUGCUCUUCCGGCUUACUUAUACUCUGUCAGCCCCCCAAGUCUUUAGAUUAUGACAAAACCUUGAAUGAUCGGUAGACUUAUGAUAGUGGCUAAAACUUUACCUUUAGAUAUUUCUGGAGUCCAAUAACAUAUAAUAAACUUCACCGGUAGUCCCCAAGGGCCGGUUCACUUAACCAUAAAUGAGCCGGUACUUUGAAUUUCAUAACUGUCUUGUGCCGAACUCAACAAAUAUUGUAGUCCGGCUUAACCUUGAGAUACUUGCUGAAUAUCAUACAUUAGCCCCCAAGUGCCAAGUGUUGUUACUUUGUAAAGUACUUGGGACUUGAAUUAUAGUAAAGUCUUGGCGAGUCGUCCAGUAGAUUCUCUAUUUUGAAUGAUGUCUCCCAAAGGAGCAGAGCUAACCACGGUGAUUGGGUGACCCUGAAAGUAAUGUUUGAGCUUCCGGCUUGCCAUGAACACCCCAUGCACGAGCUUCUGCCAAUGUGGAUAUCUUUGUUUAGAUUCAAUCAACACCUCACUGACGUAGUAAACCAGCCGUUGAACCGGAUGUUCCUUGCCAACCUCCUUGCGCUCCACCACAAUUGCCACACUAACAGCUUGUGAGUUGGCGGCUACGUAUAGCAAUAGCGGCUCUUUCUCAACUGGAGCAGCAAGGACCGCCGGCUCAGCAAGCUGUUUCUUAAGAUCCUCGAAAGCAGAGUUCACAGCAUCGCUCCAAACAAAAUCAUUUGUUUUCUUCAUCAUCUGAUACAAAGGCAUCGCCUUCUCCCCUAACUGGCUUAUGAACCGGCUCAAAGCAGCAACACGACCCGCCAGGUGUUGAGCGUCAUUGAUGCAUGUUGGUUUGGCCAGGGAUGUGAUUGCCUUAAUUUUCUCCGGGUUAGCUUCAAUACCUCGGUUCGACACCAAAAAACCCAAGAGCUUGCCAUAUGGAACUCCAAAAACGCACUUGGCCGGGUUAAGCGUCAUUUUGUAGACCCAGAGGUUAUCAAAGGUCUCUUUCAGAUCUGUGACCAAGGUUUCCUCUUUCUUGGACUUUACCACUAUAUCAUCCACAUAGGCAUGAACAUUACGCCCAAUCUAAUUGUGAAGGCAAUUCUGCAUACACCGUUGGUAAGUUGCCUGGGCACUCUUGAGCCCGAAGGGCAUAGACACAUAGCAGAAGGCUCCAAACGGAGUGAUGAAAGUUGUCUUCUCCUAGUCCUUGACUGCCAUUGCUAUGUCUUGAGCUUGCGUUGGUUUUCACCGAAGAGGAAGGGAUGAUGCAGCAGAGUAGCGUAAGUAUUUCCCUCAGUCUUUGAGAACCAAGGUAUCAAUCCAGUAGGAGGCCACGCUCAAGUCCCUCAUACCUGCACAAAAUGAUAGCUACUCAGAACCAACACGAUUAGGGGUUGUCAAUCCCUUCACGGUCACUUACGAGAGUGAGAUCUGAUAGAUAUAAUAUUUUUGGUAUUUUUGGUCUAAAGAUGCAAAGUAAAAAUUAAAAGCAAAGUAAAAGGCAAAGCAAGAUUAAAGUGAUGGAGAUUGAUAUGAUGAGAAUAGACCCGGGGGCCAUAGGUUUCACUAGUGGCUUCUCUCAAGAGCAUAAGUAUUCUACGGUGGGUGAACAAAUUACUAUUGAGCAAUUGACAGAAUUGAGCAUAGUUAUGAGAAUAUCUAGGCAUGAUCAUGUAUAUAGGCAUCACGUCUGUGACAAGUAGACCGAAACGAUUCUGCAUCUACUACUAUUACUCCACUCAUCGACCGCUAUCCAGCAUGCAUCUAGAGUAUUAAGUUAAAAACAGAGUAACGCCUUAAGCAAGAUGACAUGAUGUAGAGAGAUAAAUUCAUGCAAUAUGAAAUAAAUCCCAUCUUGUUAUCCUCAAUGGCAACGAUACAAUACGUGCCUUGCUGCCCCUUCUGUCACUGGGAAAGGACACCGCAAGAUCGAACCCAAAGCUAAGCACUUCUCCCAUGGCAAGAACUACCAAUCUAGUUGGCCAAACCAAACGGAUAAUUCGAAGAGACUUGCAAAGAUAACCAAUCAUACAUAAAAGAAUUCAGAGAAGAUUCAAAUAUUACUCAUAGAUAGACUUGAUCAUAAACCCACAAUUCAUCGGUCUCAACAAACACACCGCAAAAAGAAGAUUACAUCGAAUAGAUCUCCACAAGAGAGGGGGAGAACUUUGUAUUGAGAUUCAAAAAGAGAGAAGAAGCCAUCUAGCUACUAACUAUGGACCCAAAGGUCUGAGGUAAACUACUGACACUUCAUCGGAGGGGCUAGGAUGAUGUAGAAGCCCUCCGUGAUGACGGCCCUCUUCCAGCGAAGCACCGGAACAGGCCCCAAGAUGGGAUCUCGUGGAUACAGAAAGUUGCGGCGGUGGAAUUAGGUUUUUGGCUCCUGUUCUGAUCGUUUGGGGGUACGUGUGUAUAUAUAGGAGGAAGGAGUACGUCGGUGGAGCACCGAGGGGCCCACGAGGCAGGGGGCGCGCCCUAGGGGGGGCGCCCCCUACCCUCGUGACCUCCUCUUUGACUCCUUGGAGUAGGGUCCAAGUCUCAUGGAUCACAUUCGGUGAGAAAAUCACGUUCCCGAAGAUUUUAUUCUGUUUGGACUCCGUUUGAUAUUCUGUUUCUCUGAAACACUGAAAUAGGCAAAAAACAACAAUUCUGGGUUGGGCCUACGGUUAAUAGGUUAGUCCCAAAAAUAAUAUAAAAGUGGAAAAUAAAGCCCAAUAUAGUCCAAAAUAGAAGAUAAUAUAGCAUGGAGCAAUCAAAAAUUAUAGAUACGUUGGAGACGUAUCAGGCAUCCCCAAGCUUAAUUCCUGCUCGUCCUCGAGUAGGUAAAUGAUAAAAAGAGAAUUUUUGAUGCGGAGUGCUACUUGGCAUAAUUUCAGUGCAAAUCUUCUUAAUUGUGAUAUGAAUAUUCAGAUUAGAAAGAUUCAAGACAAAAUUUUAUAUUGACAUAAAAAUAAUAAUACUUCAAGCAUACUAACAAAGCAAUUAUGUCGUCUCAAAAUAACAUGGCCAAAGAAAGUUAUCCCUACAAAAUCAUAUAGUCUGGCUAUGCUCUAUCUUCACCACACAAAGUAUUUAAAUCAUGCACAACCCCGAUGACAAGCCAAGCAAUUGUUUCAUACUCACUUUUUCAAAACUUUUCAAUCUUCAUGCAAUACAUGAGCGUGAGCCAUGGAUAUAGCACUAUAGGUGGAAUAGAAUGGUGGUUGUGGAGAAGACAAAAAGGAGGGCAAGAUAGUCUCACAUCAACUAGGCGUAUCAACGGGCUAUGGAGAUGCCCAUCAAUAGAUAUCAAUGUGAGUGAGUAGGGAUUGCCAUGCAACGGAUGCACUAGAGCUAUAAAUGUAUGAACGCUCAACAAAAGAUACUAGUGGGUGUGCAUCCAACUUGCUUGCUCAUGAAGAUCUAGGGCAAUUUGAGGAAGCCCAUCAUUGGAAUAUACAAGCCAAGUUAUAUAAUGUAAAAUUCCCACUAGUAUAUGAAAGUGAUAACAUAAGAGACUCUCUACUAUGAACAUCAUGGUGCUACUUUGAAGCACAAGUGUGGUAAAAGGAUAGUAGCAUUGCCCCUUUUUAUUUCUAUUCUUUUUUUUGGGCCUUCUUUUUUUUCUUUGGCCUUUCUUCUCUUUUUUAUUUUUUUAUUGGGACAAUGCUCUAUUAAAUGAUGAUCAUCACACUUUUAUUUAUUUACAACUCAAUGAUUACAACUCGAUUCUAAAACAAAGUAUGACUCUAUAUGGAUGCCUUCGGCGGUGUACCGGGAUAUGCAAUGAAUCAAGAGUGACAAGUAUGAAGAAAUUAUGAACGGUGGCUUUGCCACAAAUACUAUGUCAACUACAUGAUCAUGCUAAGCAAUAUGACAAUGAUGAAUGUGUCAUGAUGAACUAGAUGGUGGAAAGUUGCAUGGCAAUAUAUCUCGGAAUGGCUAUGGAAAUGCCAUAAUAGGUAGGUAUGCUGGCUGUUUUGAGGAAGGUAUAUGGUAGGUGUAUGAUACCGGCGAAAAGUGCGCGGUAUUAGAGAGGCUAGCAAAGGUGGAAGGGUGAGAGUGCGUAUGAUCCAUGGACUCAACAUUAGUCAUAAAGAACUCAUAUACUUAUUGCAAAAAUCUAGAAGUUAUCAAAGCAAAGUAUUACGCGCAUGCUCCUAGGGGGAUAGAUUGGUAGGAAAAGACCAUCGCUCGUCCCCGACCGCCACUCAUAAGGAAGACAAUCAAUAAAUAAAUCAUGCUCUGACUUCAUCACAUAACGGUUCACCAUACGUGCAUGUGAAAGCACAAGUGCUCCAUGGGUGGUUUUGGUAAUUAAUGUCAACAUAUCUCUUGUUGGACUAACACUUUUACCUAGUAUGUUUCAGAUAAGUUCAACAAUGGAGUGGCAUGGACUAGAGGAUGUGGAACCCUUUCAAGAUGCUAAGGACAAAGGAUUGGCUCAAGCUUCAAGAUCAAGACUCUACAUUUUCUAUUUUAGUGAUCCAAGAUCACAUUGAGUCUAUAGGAAAAGCCAAUACUAUCAAGAGGGGAUGAGGUGUUGCUUAAUGGCUUGCUUGCUCAAAGUGCUUAGUGAUAUGCUCCAAAACCCUCAGCUACCUUCCCACAUCCACAUAUGACCUAAACCAAAAGUCAAACUCGGCCCCACCGAUUCUUUCUAUCCGGCGCCACCGAGUUUCAAAUGUCAUAGCCACUGCCACAAACCCUAGCAAAUCGGUUUCACCGAUAGGGAUCUCGGUCUCACCGAGAUGGGAUUGUAAUCUCUCUGUGUAUGUCCAUUACCAAAAUCGGUCUCAGCGAGUUUGAGCAAUCGGUACUACCAAGAUUACAAUGCAAACCCUCUGGUUAGCUUAUUACCAAAAUCGGUCCCACCUAGUGUAACGCCCUCGAUGCGGCUAUAUCUCCCACGUGUCGAGGCACGACUUAGAGGCAUAGCCGCAUUGAAAGCAAUGUCGCAAGUCGGGAAAUCAUCACACAUCCCAUGUACAUAAAUAAUAUAAAGGGGAAGAACAUAGUUGGCUUACACUCGCCACGUCACAUCAAAGUACAUAAAUAACAUCCAUCAUACAAUUCACUCAUGGCCUGACUACGGCGCCAAAAUAGAAAAGACCCCCAACAAGCGAC